This 317-nucleotide small RNA is filed under the name Lactococcus lactis subsp. lactis. RNAcentral's name for it is "partial s277". Lineage: Bacteria; Bacillati; Bacillota; Bacilli; Lactobacillales; Streptococcaceae. The record is from RNAcentral.
CUUUUUUAUUUCCAAACUUUUUUCCAGUCUGAAAUACAUUCAUUAAGCAUUGCAGCUUUAUCAGCAGCAAGUUCUUGCUUAUUCUUUUUGCGUGAAGUCAUAUAAAGACUUCCAUCUGGACGUUGCCAAGUUUCAAAGACUACUACUCCACGAUUUUCUCGUUUGAUUAAAUCAUGGUAGAUUUGUCCAACAGUCGUUGGCAACACUCGAACUUUGCGUCCAUUUAUAAUUGUUGUUUCCAUUAUUUGCCUUUCUAUGUAUGCGUUUUAAUCCUCCGAGUGCUAUAAUUACUGUGAGCAGAUAUUUGCGGUAUUUGC